RNAcentral lists this small RNA (111 nucleotides) under Marmota monax (woodchuck). Lineage: Eukaryota; Metazoa; Chordata; Mammalia; Rodentia; Sciuridae. The record is from RNAcentral.
GCUGGGUUGGUAGUAUAUACCUGUAGUCCCAGCUAUUCUGGAGGCUGAGGCAGGAAUAUCACUUGAGCCCAGGAGUUUGAGGCUAGCCUGGGCAGCAAAGGGAGAUCUCAU